RNAcentral lists this small RNA (27 nucleotides) under Bombyx mori (domestic silkworm). Its description in RNAcentral is "ovarian small RNA-18431". The record is from RNAcentral. Lineage: Eukaryota; Metazoa; Arthropoda; Insecta; Lepidoptera; Bombycidae.
UAAAUAACGUACUGCGCAAUGUUGGAA